GAUAACCGGCUUGCGGCAGCCAAGUGAUCGCAGGCAGCGACAUUGCUUUUCGACCCUUCGAUGUCGGCCCUUGUUAUCAUUGGGAAACAGCAUUCACCGAACGUUGGAUUGUUCACCCGCUAAUGGGGAACGCGAGCUGAGCUGUGACGGCUUUGCGACGGCGUU
Molecule: non-coding RNA, 165 nt
Filed under: Volvox carteri f. nagariensis
Lineage: Eukaryota; Viridiplantae; Chlorophyta; Chlorophyceae; Chlamydomonadales; Volvocaceae
Description: Eukaryotic large subunit ribosomal RNA
Rfam family: Eukaryotic large subunit ribosomal RNA
Source: Rfam by way of RNAcentral